RNAcentral lists this transfer RNA (74 nucleotides) under Diphylleia rotans. Its description in RNAcentral is "tRNA-Met". It matches the Rfam family "tRNA". Rfam says of the family: Transfer RNA (tRNA) molecules are approximately 80 nucleotides in length. Their secondary structure includes four short double-helical elements and three loops (D, anti-codon, and T loops). Lineage: Eukaryota; Collodictyonidae. The record is from RNAcentral.
UGUGGGGUAGAGCAGGUUGGUAGCUCAUCAGGCUCAUAAUCUGAAGGUCAUAGGUUCAAAUCCUAUCUCCACAA